Molecule: ribosomal RNA, 320 nt
Filed under: uncultured eukaryote
Lineage: Eukaryota
Description: partial 18S ribosomal RNA
Rfam family: Eukaryotic small subunit ribosomal RNA
Source: RNAcentral
CCCUUAGAUGUUCUGGGCUGCACGCGCGCUACACUGACACCCCCAGCGAGUCUCCUGCCCUGACAGGGUUGGGUAAUCAUUGGAGUGUGUGUCGUGAUGGGGAUAGAGUAUUGCAAUUAUUGCUCUCGAACGAGGAAUUCCUAGUAAGCACAAGUCAGCAGCUUGUGCUGAUUACGUCCCUGCCCUUUGUACACACCGCCCGUCGCUCCUACCGAGGGGGUGAUCCGGUGAAUGAUUCGGACUUUGGCGUUUCUAGCUGCUAGCAGCGCUGAAGAAAGUUUUGUGAACCUUAUCACUUGGAGGAAGGAGAAGUCGUAACA